RNAcentral lists this ribosomal RNA (502 nucleotides) under uncultured bacterium. RNAcentral's name for it is "partial 16S ribosomal RNA". It matches the Rfam family "Bacterial small subunit ribosomal RNA", at positions 899 to 1397 of the family's 1533-position model. The record is from RNAcentral.
ACUCAAAUGAAUAGACGGGGGCCCGCACAAGCGGUGGAUCAUGUGGUUUAAUUCGAAGCAACGCGAAGAACCUUACCUGGGUUUGACAUGCCUCUGAAUAUUUUUAGAGAUAGAAAUAGGCUCGCAAGAGACAGAGGACACAGGUGCUGCAUGGCUGUCGUCAGCUCGUGUUGUGAAAUGUUGGGUUAAGUCCCGCAACGAGCGCAACCCCUAGCUUUGGUUGCCAUCAUUUAAGGUGGGCACUCCAGAGUGACUGCCGUCGUCAAGACGGAGGAAGGUGGGGAUGACGUCAAGUCCUCAUGGCCUUUAUAUCCAGGGCGACACACGUGAUACAAUGGUUGGUACAAAGGGUAGCCAAGUGGUGACACGGAGCCAAUCCCAAAAAACCAAUCUCAGUUCGGAUUGGAGUCUGCAACUCGACUCCAUGAAGUUGGAAUCGCUAGUAAUCGCGGAUCAGCACGCCGCGGUGAAUACGUUCCCGGGCCUUGUACACACCGCCCGU